GGGUUUAGAGCGUAAUCGUGCUGAUAACGUGUUGUGAAACAAGAUAAUAGAAUCUGUAUGUUUUUUUUGUUUCUGUAUUAUUCAUAAACAUAAAGAGCCCUUUAUAUAUGGAGAAUUACAAGAGAGAUAAAAGGAAACACAAAUAUGGAAAGACUAGAAUAUGUAAAUAUUACAAAUCAUAGAUCUAUAAGGAAAAGGGAAACUAGAGUUUCUCUCUAACCAGACCGGAAUAGAACAACCAAUGAAAAGUAACUCCCUAUUGGAAAUAUGGAAAGACUAGAAUAUGUAAAUAUUACAAAUCAUAGAUCUAUAAGGAAAAGGGAAACUAGAGUUUCUCUCUCUCUCUCUCUCUCAUGGCCGCCGACUCUCUCUCUCUAAGUAUGGGCCGGUUAUAGACCGGGCCGGUUAUAGACCGGGCCGGUUAUGGACAUCCACAAUAUGAUUUAUAACAAGAACUUUUUUAUCUCGCGGUACCAUGAUUUUAUCGUGUGUUGGUUUAGGAACUACAGUAGACGGUGUGAAUUACGGUAAGAGGCGAUUUGUUUCAAAAAUUCA
This 555-nucleotide long non-coding RNA is filed under the name Brassica napus (rape). Its description in RNAcentral is "long non-coding RNA (BNAP_LNC013506)". Lineage: Eukaryota; Viridiplantae; Streptophyta; Magnoliopsida; Brassicales; Brassicaceae. The record is from RNAcentral.